AUGUGCAGACAGCCGGUUCUGUUUUUCUGCACUGGAAGCCCAUUGGGAAGUCCCCGCUCAGAAGCUCUGUGCCUGGGUUUGCAUGUCCUCGUUAAGCGUCAUCGUCCCCCUCCACGUCUUCACCUUGUGUCUUACCACCUGCGGUGCCCUAGGCUCACAUACCUGGCUCCCUGGAGGCAUCCCACAGGAGAGCCCUGUGCCACCCCAGUCCUGGAGGCGGAAGUCACUGGGUGGAGGAAGCCAGAACUGCCAGCGGUAGUCCCGCAUCACCACCACCAUCAUCAUUGUCAUUGUCCGGCCCCAUUAGGCUAUCAAUCAGCAUGGCCGGGCUGGGGAAAACUGCCCAGCACAGGAGAGACAGACACCUGGAUACAAGCCCUUGCUCGAGCAAGUUUUUGCCUCUUCCCUUGCCUCAAUCUUUUCUUCCUAAGGUGAGGGGCUUGGGCCUGACAGUUGGGGCGAGGGAUGCACCCUGUGGCCAAAGACUAGAUCCUUUUCUUGUCCCUCAAGAUUGCCAACCAAAUUCUUCCAAUCUGGGGUUCCAGGAAAGACUUCAUCGGGUCAUCAGCGUCUGGCCCUGCCUUCUAACGGCCCGUCGGGUUGAUCUGAACAAAAGAAAACGGGUUGGAGCAACACAGGGGAAGACAGAAACCCAGGCGCAGGAGAUUUGCAGGUGCAAUUUCGUACAAAUGUAACCGCAUCGUGGCCACCCCUUCCCCGAGAAAGAUAGGAGGCCAACAGGAGAAGUGGGGGAGGGGGAGAGGUAAAAGGGGAGGGGACAGCGGGAAAAGGAUGUGGGAAGGGUUGCAGGGAGAGGUGGCCAAGACAAGAUCUCUCUGGAAACAAUGCCCCUCUGCCAUAUUCGCCUCCCAAGGAAUCAGACUGGGUGUGUGGUCAAUUAUAUCCCGGUAGAACUGGAAGAAAAAAACUGGGCGUGUGCCGGGAGGGCAGUUAUAUGUGUUUUUGACGUGUGUGAGUGUGUGCGUACGUGUCUGUGUCUCCGUGACUGUGUGUGUGCUUGAGUGUGCAUCUGGGCGUGCGCAGAUAUGUUUGAAUGUGUCUGUGUGUCUGUGUAGCUGCAUGCCUAGACAGCGUCUGGCACGUAUUAGGACACGAUCAAUAUCUGAGAAUUGAAGGAAUACACAUGAGAAAGUAUGUGGCGUUCCUGAGUGAGUACGGUUACACACGUUACAUGGCUGUCCGUGCGUUCCUCUAUGUUUAUCGGAAUGUGUCUGUUUGUGCCUCGUGGUAGGAGAGGAGCAUAGAGGUAUAUUGGUGCCUGACUGUGUGCUGUCGUCACAUAUGGGUGUGCAGGUACGUGUGAAGUGUGAGCGAUCGUUUCAAGGGUGCAUGUGCGGCUCAGUCGGUUAAGCGUCCGACUCUUGAUUUCCGCUCAGGUCAUGAUCUCACGGGUUCGUGCGGCUUCAUGACUGAGCGUGAGGGAGUAGGUGUUCGCGUGCAUCUGCGAGCCUGUCUGCAAGGGUGGUGUGUGUGUGUGUGAGUGCGUGUGUGCACACGAGUGUGCUGUGAGAGUGUGCGCCUGGGCACCUGCGGGUGAGCCUGCCAGUCCUGGUUUCUUGCCCUUUCCCUAAGUCAGGAAGUGCUGGUGGUUUACACGAUCGGUCAGUUCCCCUUUCACACCUGCGGGAGCCAGAAGGGCCCCUGAAAGCCUCUCACCCACUCGGUUAUUUCUGCUUCCUUUGUGGGAAGCAGAAAGGACCCAUUUGCAAGAGUUCAACUGAAGCCGCUCCCCAGGCCCCAGCACUGAGGGUCCAGAGGAAACACCGCAGCUCUGGCCCCAGAGAGGGAGCUCCUGUUGUACCCCUCUCCCGUGUCGCUCUCAGAUCCCCUGCUGGACGACAGGGCGAGGCCCUUCCCCGGGCCGGUGAGCCUCAGCGCCAGUGGGAAUGAGCAGGACGGGAGAUCUGGAGGCAGACAACCUGGGUUCAAGUCCUGAUCGCACCCUCCGGUGAAGUGGGAGGCUUUGGACAAGAAGCUGAAAUUCUCUGAGAUUUCACUGCCUCACUGACAAAAUGGGGCGCCUGAUAACAAGGGUGAUCGCUGCUGAUUUCAGCGGGUCUGAACUGAGACGGUGAACACGAGCAGCGGAUCCUACCGAGGCACCCGUCUCCGGCCUCUGGGAAUCCUGGCUUCUCAGGUCCCAGCUGCCCGCUUCUUGACCUCGGCCAAACAGAUGUCGUCUGCCGGGGAGGCUGAGUCUCUCCUCCAGAGCGCCCAGCAGCCCAUGACUACUGACUCCAACGGGCUAUAGAAAGUUCGCCCUCUUGCCUCAAGGUGGAAGCCGCUCCAUGAUACGGUCCACACUCUAGAGCUCCCGUGGGAUCAGGUUAAGCUGAUCACCAGCCGAGACCACAGCCUUCCCCAGCUUUCUUUCCUGGCUUCCACCCUGCAGCCUUCGACCCCUGAGCCCCAGAACAGGCCCCCAACAAGCUGCUUUCAUAAGAAGCCCCUCCAACGCUCUGCUGAGAAGCCCUGUAGAAAGCACUUUUACCAGACUCAUUUCAUACACAUGAAAGGUCCAUGAGCUGGGGUAUGAGUUAGCUCUUAUCGUCCCAUUUGAAGCUAGGAAGGUGGAGGUUAGUGGAGGAAAAAAAAUGAAAUAAUAAAGAGCAAAAUGUUCAGAGUUGAGUAGUCA
Molecule: long non-coding RNA, 2656 nt
Filed under: Felis catus (domestic cat)
Lineage: Eukaryota; Metazoa; Chordata; Mammalia; Carnivora; Felidae
Description: lncRNA (ENSFCAG00000053119.1)
Source: RNAcentral